This 800-nucleotide long non-coding RNA is filed under the name Bos taurus (domestic cattle). RNAcentral's name for it is "long non-coding RNA NONBTAT015964". The record is from RNAcentral. Lineage: Eukaryota; Metazoa; Chordata; Mammalia; Artiodactyla; Bovidae.
AUGACUAGGUGGGCACGAGUCACUACCACACAGAACAAACGACCCUUUCCUGCAACAUCAUGGGAGGACUUGAAGAAGGGGUCCUCUGAGGGACAAAGAGGAAACAACUUGAAGCCAAUAGGCUGUCCCUUAAAAAUGAUGCCCCCCAAGCAAAACACAGAAAGAAUAAAAAGAAAAAGGAGUAUUUAAAUGAAGAUGUGAAUGGAUUCAUGGAAUAUUUAAGACAAAACUCACAGAUGCUUCACAAUGGUGAGGUGAUAGCAACAGACAGUCAGAAAGUAAGGGAAGAAAUUGAAGUUGCUUUAAAGAAAGACAGUCGCCGGGAAGGAAGACGAUUAAAAAGACAAGCAGCAAAGAAAAAUGCAAUGGUAUGUUUCCAUUGUAGACAACCUGGCCAUGGGAUUGCAGAUUGCCCUGCUGCCCUUGAGAAUCAAGAAAUGGGCACUGGAAUAUGUUACAGAUGUGGAUCCACAGAGCACGAAAUAACCAAGUGCAAGGCUAAAGUAGACCCAGCUCUUGGUGAAUUUCCUUUUGCAAAAUGUUUUGUUUGUGGGGAAAUGGGGCAUCUGUCCAGAUCUUGUCCUGAUAAUCCCAAAGGACUCUAUGCUGAUGGUGGUGGCUGCAGACUUUGUGGCUCUGUGGAACAUAUGAAGAAAGAUUGUCCCGAAAGUCAGAACUCAGAUCGAGUGGUCACAGUUGGUCGCUGGGCAAAGGGAAUGAGUGCAGACUAUGAAGAAAUUUUGGAUGUGCCUAAACCACAGAAACCCAAAACAAAGAUACCUAAAGUUGUUAAUUUUUGA